UACAGAGGUCUCAAGCGUUGUUCGGAUUCAUUGGGCGUAAAGGGUGCGUAGGUGGCGCCAUAAGUCAGGUGUGAAAUCUCGGGGCUCAACCCCGAAACUGCACUUGAUACUGUGGUGCUCGAGUACUGGAGAGGAGAUUGGAAUUUACGGUGUAGCAGUGAAAUGCGUAGAUAUCGGAAGGAACAUCGGUGGCGAAAGCGACUUCCUGGACCAGUACCGACGUUCAGGCACGAAAGCGUGGGGAGCAAACAGG
RNAcentral lists this ribosomal RNA (253 nucleotides) under uncultured bacterium. Its description in RNAcentral is "partial 16S ribosomal RNA". It matches the Rfam family "Bacterial small subunit ribosomal RNA", at positions 524 to 776 of the family's 1533-position model. The record is from RNAcentral.